Molecule: ribosomal RNA, 506 nt
Filed under: uncultured bacterium
Lineage: Bacteria
Description: partial 16S ribosomal RNA
Rfam family: Bacterial small subunit ribosomal RNA
Source: RNAcentral
AUUGAACGCUGGCGGCAGGCCUAACACAUGCAAGUCGAACGGUAACAGGAAACAGCUUGCUGUUUCGCUGACGAGUGGCGGACGGGUGAGUAAUGUCCGGGAAACUGCCUGAUGGAGGGGGAUAACUACUGGAAACGGUAGCUAAUACCGCAUAACGUCGCAAGACCAAAGAGGGGGACCUUCGGGCCUCUUGCCAUCGGAUGUGCCCAGAUGGGAUUAGCUAGUAGGUGGGGUAACGGCUCACCUAGGCGACGAUCCCUAGCUGGUCUGAGAGGAUGACCAGCCACACUGGAACUGAGACACGGUCCAGACUCCUGCGGGAGGCAGCAGUGGGGAAUAUUGCACAAUGGGCGCAAGCCUGAUGCAGCCAUGCCGCGUGUAUGAAGAAGGCCUUCGGGUUGUAAAGUACUUUCAGCGGGGAGGAAGGGAGUAAAGUCAAUACCUUUGCUCAUUGACGUUACCCGCAGAAGAAGCACCGGCUAACUCCGUGCCAGCAGCCGCGGUAA